Photinus pyralis (common eastern firefly) is the source of this 1427-nucleotide long non-coding RNA. RefSeq lists it as uncharacterized. Lineage: Eukaryota; Metazoa; Arthropoda; Insecta; Coleoptera; Lampyridae. The record is from RefSeq and is a predicted model, not a curated record. The transcript is spliced from 2 exons.
UAUAACAUGGAUAGUAGAUCAACUGGAUGGUAACAAUUAUGAUCUAGUGUGCAUGUCGUAGAAACUCCCUAAUUCCUUCCCUUGUUUUUAAUUCAAGGGACCAUUCAGAAACUUGCAUCUAAUCCUUGAAUGUGCAACAAUAUCUUCUGAAUAUUUUGACAGUCCCUUAAAGGAAAUCUGUAGACUUGUUUCUCGCAUCCAGAUAAUAUAAAGAUAAAAAAAAUUGAUAUUUACAUUUUAAAAACUCAUUACUUUUGAUUGUAAUUGUACAUUUCAUUAUUAGUAACGCUGCCUUCUAGGUUUAAUGGUGAUUGCGAUAUUCAAUUUUUUCUGGACAUCUAGUUUUUGAAAAAAUUACAAUUUGUGGCUGAAAGACUCAUUUUAGAUAUAGUGUAAUACAUGAAGUCUCACUAAAAUCGAUUAAGGAAUCGAAAUAUACAAUAAUAUACAGGGGGUUCUAUUAAAAAAAUUAGCGUUGAUAUAAAUCGCCCUGUAUAACAAUUGCAAUUUCGUUAAAAAUAUUCUUAGGUUAUAGCCUUAAGACUGCUUCAACAUGCCCCAGCAAUUAAUGUUAACUAUAUGCGUUAACCCGCAAUCUUUCACCCAUAGGUACACCCUGUAGAUGGGAGGGAUGUCGGGUGAAGGUAUUACAUAAAAUUUGUAUUAAAUAAGUUUAAUAGAGAUAUUUUUAAUUUUUUAAUAUACGGGGAUAUUACCAGUGGAUUUAUCCAAGUAUCAAAUAUUGGUGAUUAAGAAUUUUUUUAGUUUUAUAAUUUUCUCUUUGGAAGUACCCUUCUGUGACACUCCAUUUUCGAGAUAUCAACACAUGCAGUUUUGACCCCACCAAUGGAUGCAUUUUUGAGUUAUUUACACUUGAAGCUUUGAUCCCACCGACGGAUGCGUCUCAUCGACGGCUUUCUCUUUAAAGAUCACGCCGCCAAUAAGAAAAGUAGUUCUACACAUGCGUGCAACGUAUCCGCCUUUGGACAUGUUUGCCGUAAGCAAUUGACUUGCUUCUAAGAGGCGGUGCUGCUGAAAAUUCAAAAAAUCACUCCACAAGUAAGAAGGUUGAUUCAGUAAAUUUUUAAUUUUUUUAAUUUGUUGCCAAAAGUUCAAAGACUAAAUUUUCCAAGAUGGCGGCCAAUAUUGCGUUUUUUACAUAAAAACUACUGUAAGAUAUGUCUACAUACGAGGCCUGUUUUUUAAGUAAGGAUCGUUUUGAAAGUUCUUCUCUGCAAAGUUACGGAUGGUGUCUCGCGCAUGCGCAUCACAUGUUUACAUCUGUUGGUAAGUGAGCCGCCAUUAUGGAUCCAUUCGAUAGUGUUAAGGGUUGUUUACAAGUGUUUAAAAUGUCGCCUCCAAUUGCAAGUGCCGCCAACUGUGAAGUACGCGGUGAUUUAUGACCUUAGCAUUAAGAAAACAUAUCA